RNAcentral lists this long non-coding RNA (221 nucleotides) under Hordeum vulgare. RNAcentral's name for it is "long non-coding RNA (HVUL_LNC005738)". Lineage: Eukaryota; Viridiplantae; Streptophyta; Magnoliopsida; Poales; Poaceae. The record is from RNAcentral.
AGAGGACGAGGCGCCUUGGGUGUUCGUAUCCUGUCCGUUCCUAUCUGCUUCGGGAUGGUCCACUUGGGAAUUGUCUCCACAUCAUUCGCCACCAUACAAGCUGAAUACGGACAAAACACAUAUAUCGGGCAUUUCCUAUCUGAUGCCACAGAUGUCAGUUAACGUGUAUUUUUGUUAACUAGUGCCUGCGCCAUUCGUAAAUGGGCCGGUCCAUAUAGGCG